ACACCUUCUUGGCCUCAUGGCUAAGAUCAAGUAUAGUAUCUGUUCUACGCAAAUUUGCUAUUGCGGCUUGCUUCGUUUUCUUCGUCUCCGGGUCUUGUAUUGUCGCCUUUUUAUUGAAAAAAUAUCGGCCACGUUGCCCAAAAGUGGUGGAUUCGUCUAAAGAGGGGCAUUUUUCCUAUACUGGGUAGAGCUAUU
This 195-nucleotide small nuclear RNA is filed under the name Albugo candida. RNAcentral describes it as "U2 spliceosomal RNA". It matches the Rfam family "U2 spliceosomal RNA". From Rfam's summary of the family: U2 is a small nuclear RNA (snRNA) component of the spliceosome (involved in pre-mRNA splicing). Complementary binding between U2 snRNA (in an area lying towards the 5' end but 3' to hairpin I) and the branchpoint sequence (BPS) of the intron results the bulging out of an unpaired adenosine, on the BPS, which initiates a nucleophilic attack at the intronic 5' splice site, thus starting the first of two transesterification reactions that mediate splicing. The record is from Rfam by way of RNAcentral. Lineage: Eukaryota; Oomycota; Peronosporomycetes; Albuginales; Albuginaceae.